This is an RNA transcript of Mesocricetus auratus (golden hamster), 5919 nucleotides long. It is a transcript of the gene named ankyrin repeat and MYND domain containing 1, with no coding region annotated. The transcript is spliced from 19 exons. The record is from RefSeq and is a predicted model, not a curated record. NCBI's taxonomy places the organism in Eukaryota, Metazoa, Chordata, Mammalia, Rodentia, Cricetidae.
CGGGACCUGACUCCGAUUGGUUGGGGCUUGGAGCAAACCCUGAGCGUGGCCGUCUCCAGGGCAACGUGACGCGCUCCUGUGGUGGCUCUACAUCGCUGGGUGCGCUCUGAGAUGCUUGGUGCAGUCUAGGCCAAAGGUUUGAAGAAGAGAGACAUGGAAGACUCGCGUUCCGUUGUCACUCUGGACUCCCGUGGCUCGAAAACUUACAACCCCAGAGGUCUGGAGGGACGAAGUAGUCAGUCUCCUGACACCGAGAGCCAGGAAUCUGUGAAGAGCUAUACCUUCUUCAACAGAAGGGACCCUUCAGUGCAUCCCAGGGAGGAUGAUGAGGAGUCCGAAGCUCCCCCGAGAGAGCGGGACCUGAAGGGGACCUACAUCCAGCUCGUACAAGGGGUGCAGGAGUGGCAGGAUGGCUGUGUCUACAGAGGGGACUUCGGACUCAACAUGAAGCUCGGAUUUGGCGAGUUCUCUUGGCCCACAGGCGAGACCUACCGCGGGCAGUUUUACCGGGACCAUUGCCAUGGUGUGGGCACCUACACAUGGCCAGAUGGCUCCAGCUUCACAGGCAUGUUUUACCUCAGUCAACGAGAAGGCUAUGGCACCAUGUUCAUGAAAACCAAGUUAUUCCAGGGAUUGUAUAAAGAUGACCAACGGUUUGGGCCAGGCAUUGAGACCUACCCUGAUGGCAGCCAGGACGUUGGACUAUGGUUCCGUGAGCACCUCCUCAAACUGGGGACAGAGGUCCCCGGCAGCUUCUCCUUGCUGAACUACCCAGAAUUCUUAGACUUCCUCACAAGCUCAAAGGAGAGAAUCAGUCUCUCAGAUGAGGAGAAGGUGGAGUGGGGUCUUCCUGAGGAGCAGGACCCCUUCUUCUAUGAAUACAAACGCUUUCUCCUGAAUGAUGACCUCACGCUGCCUCCAGAGAUGCAUGUCUAUUCGACUGACAACAACCACCUGCCCAUGACAGGCACCCUUCGAAGAGAGCUGGAUGACUGUAUCUUCAUGAAUGAGAUUCCUCCAUUCAUUGAGGAUGAAGAGCCCUGGAUUAUAACAAAUGAGACUCCUUUGUUGGUCAAAAUUCAGAAGCAAACUUACAAGUUCAGGAACAAGAGUGUGCAUGCCAGCUGGAACAUAGCUGCCAUCCUGGAGGGGAACCGCAGCUGCUUUGGGCCCGGUGGCCCCAAGGAGCAUAUCUCCAGGGAGAUGAUCCUGAAGGCUGAGGAAGGGGACUAUAACUGGAUUUUUGGCGUCCUGAGGAACAACCUUGCCUGUGCUGAUGUGUCUGACUCCAAGGGCUACACGGUGUUGGCUGCUGCCGCGGUGCAUUCUCACCGCAACAUUGUCAACCUUCUCCUGGACUGUGGUGCUGAUGUGAACAAGCGCUCGGACGAGGGCCUCACGCCUCUCAGCAUGUGCUUCCUCCACUACUACCCCAGCAAAUUCUUUCAUCCCAACGUUGCCGAGAGGACCCUGCCCCAGGAACUGGCCAAACCCUUGAUCACUCCCAAAAUCUCAUUCUUGUUUGGAGAGCCCAGUGUGGACUAUUUCUACGAUACGGGCACGUCCACCCCAGGUGGGGAGGAGUAUAAGUCAUCACCGGCCCUCUCAAACAGCCUGGACGAUGGCCCGGUCCUGAGCACUGUACAAUCCCGGGAGUCCAUCAGCUGGAAGGGCAGUGUGACUCACAAGCGAGACACCCCCUCAGUGAAGAGUGUCAGCAGUGACAUAGAGAAAGAGCCUGAGGACGGGGCGGAAAAUGCCGAUGCCAGCACCCUGUACAGCGUCGACACAAACUUUGAGUCUAACAUGUGCCUUAGAAACUACUCUAUCCACGUCUCGAAGGACAUCCUGGAGAAGAGUGCCCAGGCCUACAGUUCCAUGAUGCACAUCCCCUCCCUCUCAGACAAAGGGACCGUGAGGAAAAUGGCGCAGACCAUGGCUGAACGUAGAAACCGCUGGCUGACCAUCACGUUGCUGCUGCGUAGAGGCGCUGAUCCCAACCUAUGCCAGGUGCCCAUGCAGGCCCUGUUUCUCGCCGUGAAGGCUGGGGACGUGGCUGGGGUGAAGCUGUUGCUGGAGAGCGGGGCCCGGACUGAUAUUCAGUAUCCUCCACAGCUGAAGUCUCUGACCCCACUCCACAUCGCAGCCUCGCUUCCUGGAGAGGAGGGGGUCAAGAUCACGGAGCUGCUGCUCCACGCAGUCACUGAUGUGGACGCCAAGGCGGCCGACCAGGACGACAUAUACAAAGCCGGCAAGAUUGACCUCCUGCCCUCAAGCCUGAAGCUCAACAAUGAACCAGGCCCACCCAGAAGCUUCUACACUGUCCACACGUUCAUCCCAGAAGAGGGCGGACGCACACCUCUGCAUGUGGCCUGUGAGCGAGAGGACAACAAGAAGUGUGCCAGAGACAUAGUCCGGCUCCUGCUCUCGCACAGAGCAAACCCAAACACGCUGUGGAGCGGCCACUCCCCUCUCUCCCUGUCCAUUGCCAGUGGGAAUGACCUGGUUGUGAAGGAGCUCCUGUCCCAGGGAGCUGACCCCAACUUACCUCUGACCAAAGGCUUGGGCACUGCCUUAUGUGUUGUGUGCGACCUGGCCUAUGAGCAGCAGAGGAGCACGGAGAACAAGAUUGCCCUGAUUGACCGGCUCAUCAGCUAUGGGGCAGAUAUCCUGAAGCCUGUGGUGCUUGUGCAAGGUGAAAGGAUGGCCGUGGGCACAGCCGUGGACUACGGCUACUUCAAAUUCUACCAGGACCGGAAGAUCGCCCACUGUCCCUUCCAUGCUCUGAUGCCAACAGAGCGGGAGAUAUUCAUGGCCCGAAAAAGGCUGCUAGAGUACAUGGGUUUGCAGUUACGGCGUGCUGUCCUUAGCAAAGAGAACCAGCUGGACAUAAAGGCUCUGUACCUGAGCAAGAGAGCGGAGCUGUCCCCCAGCCACAGGCUGAAGAAGAGGACCUCCAGUAUGUCUAAGACCUCAGCCACAGAAAAGCAGCACCUUGCCUUUUACAAGUUUUGCUACCAAUGUGGUCGUUCCAUUGGGGUCCGCCUCACACCCUGUCCCCGCUGCUAUGGGAUCCUGACCUGCAGCAAGUACUGCAAGACCAAGGCCUGGACCGACUUCCAUAAAAAAGACUGCAAUGACAUCAUGGUCAUGAGCCGGCCGUUCAGGGCGCCCGUGCAUUCCUGAGUUCUCCUAAGGAAGACUCUGAGAGCCAGUGAUGGUGGAGAAGGGACUACCCUCCAGCCAGCCUCUUCAGCAGCACUGCGGCAGGACUUAGAGGCAAGAAAGGAUGGGUGUCCUACCCCCCCAAACAACAAAAAGCAUAUGAAACAGGUGCCCGCCUGUGCCCAGCUCAACAAGAAUCCAAAGCAGACGAAACAGGUGUCCAAGUGUGUCAAGUUUGAGAAGAACCCAACGGGGAGAGCCUGCUGGACUGCUUGACAGGGGGCUCCAUCUGUAGUCACCAGUGAGCAUCAGGUUGCCCAGCUCUCCUCACAGGGCUCUACUGAGCCUCUACCUCACUCCAUAUCCUGCUCACUCAAAGAGAGAGGACUGCACUCCCUCCCUCUCCCAGGGGAGAAUCUGGACCACCUGGCACCAGGGCUUCCCAGGACUUGCAAGAAGGUAGACAGUAAGGAUGCAGCUGCCCUCUCCGCCCUGCCCCCACAGGGGGGCUGCACACUGCAAGUAUCCUUGGGUAGGAUCUAAUACCCAGCAGGAGUUUGCCCUUUGUAGGCUCCUCCUUCUGGGAACUGUUUGGGGGUCUCCUUGGGAUGUGUGGCCAAGCAGCAUUUGUGGGGUAGGGCUCUGCUCUGUUCCCCCGUGCUUGUACAGGCCUCACUGAAUGGUGACACUGUGGGCCACUGCUCUCAGAUAAAGCAGACAUGUCACAGCUGGCUGAGCAGGGCUGCUCUGAGUCCUGCUACUGAGUGAGCCAUGGAGGUUGGCACUGUGUGCUCACACAGGGACAGGUCAGCUCCUUGAAGCGAGGGUGAGUCAGCCCUGGAUGCCCUAGGCUAUUUAGGGUCUGUCUGCAGAUGUAGGAUAGCUCAGAACAGAUGGAGUGGCAGGCCAUCCCUGGUCCCAACACUGUUCUCCCGGGCACCUCAGAGUAGCUGGCAGGAAUGGGUAAGACAAUGAAUGCAUGUGGGUUGGAGAGAUGGUAAGUAGGUGGGGCCUGGGCGGGCUGGACCUGCCCUGGUAUCUAGGCCCCUUCCUCCCAUGACCUUUGGCAUAUUCAGUUGGCCCAGGCGGGCAUCUUCCCAGGCAGAACUUGGAGAUGUUCAAUAGUCACCACCACACGGAAACCCUAGGAUCCUACUAUAGGUGCAACCCAUGCUCAUCCCCUUCCAACGAGUCCUGACCUGUGUGUGCCCUGUUGUGUGCCUGAACACAGACACAGCCUCGCCAGAGUUACAUGAGGUCGUGUCCACUGUAGGUCUCCAGCCUUUAAUUCAUACAAAGACUCCAAAGAACACACGUUAUCCACUGGCACCGAGUGACAGAGAACCUCGUGGGGGAAGGACACAGUAGCUUGGCUUGGGCGCUGCUGUCCUGACACCCAGGCACUCUUCAUCCUGAAGCCCAGAUCUGCCUCCUGCCAUUCUUGUCCGAGUGGCACCAGCAGAGCUUGGCAGGAUGGGUGUGCUCAGGGCAAGGACCCAACCAAUCCACGGACCAACCGCAGAGAGUCCCCAUCCUGACCACUGGGCAGGCCUUGGUUCACUGUGCUGGCAGUAGCCUCCCUAACCCAGUGACAAAAGAAACAAAAAGCAGUAAGCAGCCUUUCCAGGCCUUCUGCAUGUCAGGACCACCGGCUUCCUGGUUAUAGCAGCUCAGCAUCCCCAAAGCCCUGGAAGGGAAGACAGAGCUGUGCCAGCCACCCCAGAUCUCCAGGCCACAGGAGGAUACCAGAAUCCAAACGGUGCCUUGAGCCUCUCCAGUGCUGUCAAGGAAGACUGAGACGUAGCGCUCAGUGGACAAGGACACCGAGGGUCCGAAUGUGCAUGUCUGUAGAAGCCCUUGACCGCCAUUGCUCCCCCAGCUCCUGCAGAGCUGCCUGGGUCAGGAAGGGACCCAGACCUCCUCCUGACCUGCAGUACCAGGUCCCAUUGACCCUGAGCUGAAGUGUCACCAGCCACCCAGCGUCCCUGUGGCCAGGAGACCUUUAUAAAUGGGAUAGAGGCUAGAUGUGGCUGGCUAUUCCCCUGAAGUGAGGUUCCUCACGUGGACCCCCAAGGCCAGACUCUGUGAGCUCACAUGAGGGGACCGAACACACCCUCAAGCAGUGUGGCCGUUAAGCCUAGUGUGGCCAUGCCGGCUGCCACCUCACCUAUGUCACACUCAAGGAAGCCCACAUUCACUGGGCUGCGCAGUGGCACAGGGUCCUGGCCCGGUGCGUGUGGGGAUCCUGGCCGCAGAGUUUCUUCUGAGUAGAAGGUAUCAUGCAUACACUUGAAAGCCCUGUCAGAGCCUGGGCAGCAACAUACUGGCAGCCCUGGCAGGCUUCCUGGGGAGCUGCGGGAUGGGCCUCGGUUUCUGACAUCUGUGGCCCUUGGGGUCUGGUGGGGAGUCCCCCGUGGGAAGAGGCGGGAAAGGAAGGCACAGACUCACUUGAGGUCUCCAAUGGGUUGUGGCUAACAGCCGCCCUUCUGGCAGGCCUCAUGAGCUUCGGGGGUGGUGCAGGAGGGCAAGGGAGGAGUGUGCUGCCAGAGGCGCCCCUGAGGUCCCUGAAAUACAUGGCUUUUGGGGACACUGGCUCGCAGCUGACCUGAUACAAAAUUAAAAGCUAGGGUGACAGGCGCAGUCAGACCCAGGAGGCCAGCACCCCACGCACCCUGCCCCAUGACUCAGAGCUACUGUCGCCUCAUCCUGCCCUGGGCCUUGAAGGCCCAAGGGUAUUAAAUAUUGUCUGUUGCA